Molecule: ribosomal RNA, 352 nt
Filed under: uncultured bacterium
Lineage: Bacteria
Description: bacterial SSU rRNA
Rfam family: Bacterial small subunit ribosomal RNA
Source: RNAcentral
CCAGACUCCUACGGGAGGCAGCAGUGGGGAAUAUUUGGCAAUGGGCGCAAGCCUGACCCAGCAAUGCCGCGUGAAGGAAGAAGGCUUUCGGGUUGUAAACUUCUUUGACAGGGGAAGAGCAGAAGACGGUACCCUGAAAACAAGCCACGCCUAAUUACGUGCCAGCAGCCGCGGUAAUACGUAGGUGGCAAGCGUUGUCCGGGUUUACUGGGUGUAAAGGGCGUGCAGCCGGGAAGGCAAGUCAGAUGUGGAAUCUGGAGGCGCAACCUCCAGAUUGCAUUUGAAACUGUUUGUGUUGAGUACGGGAGAGGCGGACGGAAUUCCUUGUGUAGCGGUGAAAUGCGUGGAUAUA